CUUAGUGGCGCACGGGUGAGUAACACGUGGGAACUUACCUCAGAGUACGGAAUAACUAUGGGAAACUAUAGCUAAUACCGUAUAUUCCGGAAACGGGAAAGAUUUAUCGCUCUGAGAUAGGCCCGCGCAAGAUUAGCUUGUUGGUGAGGUAAUGGCUCACCAAGGCUCCGAUCUUUAGCUGGUUUGAGAGGAUGAUCAGCCACACUGGGACUGAGACACGGCCCAGACUCCUACGGGAGGCAGCAGUAGGGAAUAUUGGACAAUGGGGGAAACCCUGAUCCAGCAAUGCAGCGUGAGUGACGAAGGCCUUAGGGUUGUAAAACUCUUUCAUCUGUGAGGAUAAUGACAGUAGCAGAAUAAGAAGGACCGGCUAAUUCCGUGCCAGCAGCCGCGGUAAUACGGAAGGUCCUAGCGUUGUUCGGAAUUACUGGGCGUAAAGAGUAUGUAGGCGGAACAGAAAGUUAGAAGUGAAAUCCCUGGGCUCAACCUAGGAAUUGCUUUUAAAACUUCUGUUCUUGAAUUCAGGAGAGGAUAGUGGAAUUUCCAGUGUAGAGGUGAAAUUCGUAGAUAUUGGAAGGAACACCAGUGGCGAAGGCGGCUAUCUGGACUGACAUUGACGCUGAGAUACGAAGGCAUGGGUAGCAAACGGGAUUAGAUACCCCGGUAGUCCAUGCAGUAAACGAUGGAUGCUAGUCGUCGGAC
This 702-nucleotide ribosomal RNA is filed under the name alpha proteobacterium SCGC AAA158-E02. RNAcentral's name for it is "bacterial SSU rRNA". It matches the Rfam family "Bacterial small subunit ribosomal RNA", at positions 91 to 828 of the family's 1533-position model. The record is from RNAcentral. Lineage: Bacteria; Pseudomonadati; Pseudomonadota; Alphaproteobacteria.